CAGCCGCCGCGGUAAUACGGAGGGCGCGAGCGUUGUCCGGAUUCACUGGGCGUAAAGCGUCCGUAGCCGGGUUGGUUAGUCUCCCGGGAAAUCUGGCCGCUUAACGGUCAGAAUUCCGGGAGAUACUGCCAGCCUAGGGACCGGGAGAGGCCGAGGGUAUUCCCGGAGUAGGGGUGAAAUCCUAUAAUCCCGGGAGGACCACCUGUGGCGAAGGCGCCCCGCUGGAACGGGUCCGACGGUGAGGGACGAAGGCCAGGGGAGCAAACCGGAUUAGAUACCCGGGUAGUCCUGGCUGUAAAGGAUGCGGGCUAGGUGUCGGGUGAGCUUCGAGCUCGCCCGGUGCCGGAGGGAAACCGUUAAGUCCGCCGCCUGGGGAGUACGGCCGCAAGGCUGAAACUUAAAGGAAUUGGCGGG
This 414-nucleotide ribosomal RNA is filed under the name uncultured microorganism. Its description in RNAcentral is "bacterial SSU rRNA". It matches the Rfam family "Archaeal small subunit ribosomal RNA", at positions 459 to 872 of the family's 1478-position model. The record is from RNAcentral.